This 29-nucleotide non-coding RNA is filed under the name Mus musculus (house mouse). Lineage: Eukaryota; Metazoa; Chordata; Mammalia; Rodentia; Muridae. The record is from RNAcentral.
UGCCAUGGUGACAGAUAUGAAAAGGAUGG